This 203-nucleotide ribosomal RNA is filed under the name uncultured bacterium. RNAcentral's name for it is "partial 16S ribosomal RNA". It matches the Rfam family "Bacterial small subunit ribosomal RNA", at positions 1300 to 1500 of the family's 1533-position model. The record is from RNAcentral.
GCAGUCUGCAACUCGACUGCAUGAAGUCGGAAUCGCUAGUAAUCGCGGAUCAGCAUGCCGCGGUGAAUGCGUUCUCGGGUCUUGUACACACCGCCCGUCAAGCCAUGGGAGUUGGGGGUACCCAAAGUCGGUGAGCUAACCCGCAAGGGAGGCAGCUGCCUAAGGUAAAACCAAUGACUGGGGUUAAGUCGUAACAAGGUAUC